AACGAAAGCUUAGCUUUAGUGGCAAACGGGUGAGUAACACGUAAGAAUCUGCCUUCAGGAGGGAAAUAACAUUUGGAAACGAUUGCUAAUGUCCCAUAUGCUGAAAAGUGAAAUAAUUUUUGCCUGAAGAUGAGCUUGCGCCUGAUUAGCUAGUUGGUAAGGUAAUGGCUUACCAAGGCUACGAUCAGUAGCUGGUUUGAGAGGAUGAUCAGCCACACUGGAACUGAGACACGGUCCAGACUUCUACGGAAGGCAGCAGUGGGGAAUUUUCCGCAAUGGGCGAAAGCCUGACGGAGCAAUACCGCGUGAGGGAUGAAUGCCUGUGGGUUGUAAACCUCUUUUAUCAGGGAAGAAUAUUGACGGUACCUGAUGAAUAAGCAUCGGCUAACUCCGUGCCAGCAGCCGCGGUAAUACGGGGGAUGCAAGCGUUAUCCGGAAUUAUUGGGCGUAAAGAGUCUGUAGGUUGUUUAAUAAGUCUGCUGUUAAAUAUUAGAGCUCAACUCUAAAAAAGCAGUAGAAACUAUUAAACUGGAGUAUGGUAGGGGCAAAGGGAAUUCCCAGUGUAGCGGUGAAAUGCGUAGAUAUUGGGAAGAACACCAGAAGCGAAGGCGCUUUGCUGGGCCAUAACUGACACUCAGAGACGAAAGCUAGGGGAGCAAAUGGGAUUAGAUACCCCAGUAGUCCUAGCUGUAAACGAUGGAUACUAGAUGUUGCGCGUAUCGAUCCGUGCAGUAUCGUAGCUAACGCGUUAAGUAUCCCGCCUGGGAAGUAUGCUCGCAAGAGUGAAACUCAAAGGAAUUGA
This 802-nucleotide ribosomal RNA is filed under the name uncultured cyanobacterium. RNAcentral's name for it is "bacterial SSU rRNA". It matches the Rfam family "Bacterial small subunit ribosomal RNA", at positions 65 to 913 of the family's 1533-position model. The record is from RNAcentral. Lineage: Bacteria; Bacillati; Cyanobacteriota.